RNAcentral lists this ribosomal RNA (2103 nucleotides) under Staphylococcus hominis. Its description in RNAcentral is "partial 23S ribosomal RNA". It matches the Rfam family "Bacterial large subunit ribosomal RNA", at positions 132 to 2234 of the family's 2925-position model. Lineage: Bacteria; Bacillati; Bacillota; Bacilli; Caryophanales; Staphylococcaceae. The record is from RNAcentral.
CACAAGUUAUGUUGUGUUAUCGACAAGUGAAUUCAUAGCUUGUCAGAAGGCAGACCCGGAGAACUGAAACAUCUUAGUACCCGGAGGAAGAGAAAGAAAAUUCGAUUCCCUGAGUAGCGGCGAGCGAAACGGGAAGAGCCCAAACCAAUAAGCUUGCUUAUUGGGGUUGUAGGACACUCUAUACGGAGUUACAAAGGAAUAUAUUAAACGAAUCAUCUGGAAAGUUGAAUCAAAGAAGGUAAUAAUCCUGUAGUUGAAAAUAUAUUCUCUCUUGAGUGGAUCCUGAGUACGACGGAGCACGUGAAAUUCCGUCGGAAUCUGGGAGGACCAUCUCCUAAGGCUAAAUACUCUCUAGUGACCGAUAGUGAACCAGUACCGUGAGGGAAAGGUGAAAAGUACCCCGGAAGGGGAGUGAAAGAGAACUUGAAACCGUGUGCUUACAAGUAGUCAGAGCCCGUUAAUGGGUGAUGGCGUGCCUUUUGUAGAAUGAACCGGCGAGUUACGAUCUGAUGCAAGGUUAAGCAGAAAAUGUGGAGCCGUAGCGAAAGCGAGUCUGAAUAGGGCGUAUAGUAUUUGGUCGUAGACCCGAAACCAGGUGAUCUACCCAUGGUCAGGUUGAAGUUCAGGUAACACUGAAUGGAGGACCGAACCGACUUACGUUGAAAAGUGAGCGGAUGAACUGUGGGUAGCGGAGAAAUUCCAAUCGAACUUGGAGAUAGCUGGUUCUCUCCGAAAUAGCUUUAGGGCUAGCCUCAAGUGAUGAUUAUUGGAGGUAGAGCACUGUUUGGACGAGGGGCCCCUCUCGGGUUACCGAAUUCAGACAAACUCCGAAUGCCAAUUAAUUUAACUUGGGAGUCAGAACAUGGGUGAUAAGGUCCGUGUUCGAAAGGGAAACAGCCCAGACCACCAGCUAAGGUCCCAAAAUAUAUGUUAAGUGGAAAAGGAUGUGGCGUUGCCCAGACAACUAGGAUGUUGGCUUAGAAGCAGCCAUCAUUUAAAGAGUGCGUAAUAGCUCACUAGUCGAGUGACACUGCGCCGAAAAUGUACCGGGGCUAAACAUAUUACCGAAGCUGUGGAUUGUCCUUUGGACAAUGGUAGGAGAGCGUUCUAAGGGCGUUGAAGCAUGAUCGCAAGGACAUGUGGAGCGCUUAGAAGUGAGAAUGCCGGUGUGAGUAGCGAAAGACGGGUGAGAAUCCCGUCCACCGAUUGACUAAGGUUUCCAGAGGAAGGCUCGUCCGCUCUGGGUUAGUCGGGUCCUAAGCUGAGGCCGACAGGCGUAGGCGAUGGAUAACAGGUUGAUAUUCCUGUACCACCUAUAAUCGUUUUAAUCGAUGGGGGGACGCAGUAGGAUAGGCGAAGCGUACGAUUGGAUUGUACGUCUAAGCAGUGAGAUUGAGUGUUAGGCAAAUCCGGCACUCUUAAGAUUGAGCUGUGAUGGGGAGAGGAAAUUGUUUCCUCGAGUCGUUGAUUUCACACUGCCGAGAAAAGCCUCUAGAUAGAGAUUAGGUGCCCGUACCGCAAACCGACACAGGUAGUCAAGAUGAGAAUUCUAAGGUGAGCGAGCGAACUCUCGUUAAGGAACUCGGCAAAAUGACCCCGUAACUUCGGGAGAAGGGGUGCUCUUUAGGGUGCAAGCCCAGAAGAGCCGCAGUGAAUAGGCCCAAGCGACUGUUUAUCAAAAACACAGGUCUCUGCUAAACCGUAAGGUGAUGUAUAGGGGCUGACGCCUGCCCGGUGCUGGAAGGUUAAGAGGAGUGGUUAGCUUCUGCGAAGCUACGAAUCGAAGCCCCAGUAAACGGCGGCCGUAACUAUAACGGUCCUAAGGUAGCGAAAUUCCUUGUCGGGUAAGUUCCGACCCGCACGAAAGGCGUAACGAUUUGGGCACUGUCUCAACGAGAGACUCGGUGAAAUCAUAGUACCUGUGAAGAUGCAGGUUACCCGCGACAGGACGGAAAGACCCCGUGGAGCUUUACUGUAGCCUGAUAUUGAAAUUCGGCACAGCUUGUACAGGAUAGGUAGGAGCCUUUGAAACGUGAGCGCUAGCUUACGUGGAGGCGUUGGUGGGAUACUACCCUAGCUGUGUUGGCUUUCUAACCCGCACCA